AGCGGGCUUCGGCCCGUCAGUAGAGCGGCGAACGGGUGAGUAACACGUGGAUAACCUGCCUAGGAGCGGGGGACAACUCGGGGAAACCUGAGCUAAUACCGCAUACGCUCUCACGAUCUUGGUGGUGAGAGGAAAGGUGGCUCUUCGGAGCUGUCACUCCUAGAGGGGUCCGCGGCUGAUUAGCUAGUUGGUGGGGUAAUGGCCUACCAAGGCGACGAUCAGUAGCCGGCCUGAGAGGGUGAUCGGCCACACUGGAACUGAGACACGGUCCAGACUUCUACGGAAGGCAGCAGUGGGGAAUAUUGGACAAUGGGCGAAAGCCUGAUCCAGCAACGCCGCGUGGAGGAUGAAGGCCUUCGGGUUGUAAACUCCUGUCAGUUGGGACGAAAAGGCUUCGGCGAACAACCGGAGUCUCUGACGGUACCAGCAGAGGAAGCCCCGGCUAACUCCGUGCCAGCAGCCGCGGUAAUACGGAGGGGGCGAGCGUUAUUCGGAAUCAUUGGGCGUAAAGGGCGCGUAGGCGGCUUGAUAAGUCAGGGGUGAAAUCCCUCGGCUCAACCGAGGAACUGCCUUUGAAACUGUCAGGCUUGAGGCCGGGAGAGGGUGGUGGAAUUCCCAGUGUAGCGGUGAAAUGCGUAGAUAUUGGGGGGAACACCAGUGGCGAAGGCGGCCACCUGGACCGGUUCUGACGCUGAGGCGCGAAAGCGUGGGUAGCAAACAGGAUUAGAUACCCUGGUAGUCCACGCUGUAAACGAUGAGCACUCGGUGCUGCGGGUGUCGACCCCUGCAGUGCCUUAGGAA
This 801-nucleotide ribosomal RNA is filed under the name uncultured bacterium. RNAcentral describes it as "bacterial SSU rRNA". It matches the Rfam family "Bacterial small subunit ribosomal RNA", at positions 72 to 854 of the family's 1533-position model. The record is from RNAcentral.